This 211-nucleotide long non-coding RNA is filed under the name Elaeis guineensis (African oil palm). RNAcentral describes it as "long non-coding RNA (EGUI_LNC022237)". Lineage: Eukaryota; Viridiplantae; Streptophyta; Magnoliopsida; Arecales; Arecaceae. The record is from RNAcentral.
CCUAAUUGGGAAUGACUUUAUCGAGUCAUUGAUUAAAUUCGCUUAGGGACUUAUAGAAUUGAAAAUUUAGAUGGAAUUGUUAUUUUCUGUAUUUAGAAUUCUAAAAAUCUUAAAAAAAUAUUAUCAAUAAAAAUAUUCUCAUAAGCUCUAUUUUGAACAUCAUAUCCUCUCAUAUAUCUAAAUUUGAUUCUUUAAAGCUCCAUAGGGCAUC